This 2906-nucleotide ribosomal RNA is filed under the name Enterobacter asburiae. RNAcentral describes it as "23S ribosomal RNA". It matches the Rfam family "Bacterial large subunit ribosomal RNA". The record is from RNAcentral. Lineage: Bacteria; Pseudomonadati; Pseudomonadota; Gammaproteobacteria; Enterobacterales; Enterobacteriaceae.
GGUUAAGCGACUAAGCGUACACGGUGGAUGCCCUGGCAGUCAGAGGCGAUGAAGGACGUGCUAAUCUGCGAAAAGCGCCGGCGAGGUGAUAUGAACCUUUGACCCGGCGAUGUCCGAAUGGGGAAACCCAGUGCAAUUCGUUGCACUAUCGUUAACUGAAUACAUAGGUUAACGAGGCGAACCGGGGGAACUGAAACAUCUAAGUACCCCGAGGAAAAGAAAUCAACCGAGAUUCCCCCAGUAGCGGCGAGCGAACGGGGAGCAGCCCAGAGUCUGAAUCAGCUUGUGUGUUAGUGGAACGGUCUGGAAAGUCCGGCGAUACAGGGUGACAGCCCCGUACACGAAAGCACACAGGCUGUGAACUCGAAGAGUAGGGCGGGACACGUGGUAUCCUGUCUGAAUAUGGGGGGACCAUCCUCCAAGGCUAAAUACUCCUGACUGACCGAUAGUGAACCAGUACCGUGAGGGAAAGGCGAAAAGAACCCCGGCGAGGGGAGUGAAAAAGAACCUGAAACCGUGUACGUACAAGCAGUGGGAGCACCUUCGUGGUGUGACUGCGUACCUUUUGUAUAAUGGGUCAGCGACUUAUAUUCUGUAGCAAGGUUAACCGUAUAGGGGAGCCGAAGGGAAACCGAGUCUUAACUGGGCGUUAAGUUGCAGGGUAUAGACCCGAAACCCGGUGAUCUAGCCAUGGGCAGGUUGAAGGUUGGGUAACACUAACUGGAGGACCGAACCGACUAAUGUUGAAAAAUUAGCGGAUGACUUGUGGCUGGGGGUGAAAGGCCAAUCAAACCGGGAGAUAGCUGGUUCUCCCCGAAAGCUAUUUAGGUAGCGCCUCGUGAACUCAUCUUCGGGGGUAGAGCACUGUUUCGGCUAGGGGGCCAUCCCGGCUUACCAACCCGAUGCAAACUACGAAUACCGAAGAAUGUUAUCACGGGAGACACACGGCGGGUGCUAACGUCCGUCGUGAAGAGGGAAACAACCCAGACCGCCAGCUAAGGUCCCAAAGUCAUGGUUAAGUGGGAAACGAUGUGGGAAGGCACAGACAGCCAGGAUGUUGGCUUAGAAGCAGCCAUCAUUUAAAGAAAGCGUAAUAGCUCACUGGUCGAGUCGGCCUGCGCGGAAGAUGUAACGGGGCUAAACCAUGCACCGAAGCUGCGGCAGCGACGCUUAUGCGUUGUUGGGUAGGGGAGCGUUCUGUAAGCCGUUGAAGGUGUGCUGUGAGGCAUGCUGGAGGUAUCAGAAGUGCGAAUGCUGACAUAAGUAACGAUAAAGCGGGUGAAAAGCCCGCUCGCCGGAAGACCAAGGGUUCCUGUCCAACGUUAAUCGGGGCAGGGUGAGUCGACCCCUAAGGCGAGGCCGAAAGGCGUAGUCGAUGGGAAACAGGUUAAUAUUCCUGUACUUGGUGUUACUGCGAAGGGGGGACGGAGAAGGCUAUGUUAGCCGGGCGACGGUUGUCCCGGUUUAAGCAUGUAGGCGGAGGUUCCAGGUAAAUCCGGUACCUUAUUAACGCUGAGGUGUGAUGACGAGGCACUACGGUGCUGAAGUAACAAAUGCCCUGCUUCCAGGAAAAGCCUCUAAGCAUCAGGUAACACGAAAUCGUACCCCAAACCGACACAGGUGGUCAGGUAGAGAAUACCAAGGCGCUUGAGAGAACUCGGGUGAAGGAACUAGGCAAAAUGGUGCCGUAACUUCGGGAGAAGGCACGCUGAUAUGUAGGUGAAGCCCCUGCGGGUGGAGCUGAAAUCAGUCGAAGAUACCAGCUGGCUGCAACUGUUUAUUAAAAACACAGCACUGUGCAAACACGAAAGUGGACGUAUACGGUGUGACGCCUGCCCGGUGCCGGAAGGUUAAUUGAUGGGGUUAGCGGCAACGCGAAGCUCUUGAUCGAAGCCCCGGUAAACGGCGGCCGUAACUAUAACGGUCCUAAGGUAGCGAAAUUCCUUGUCGGGUAAGUUCCGACCUGCACGAAUGGCGUAAUGAUGGCCAGGCUGUCUCCACCCGAGACUCAGUGAAAUUGAACUCGCUGUGAAGAUGCAGUGUACCCGCGGCAAGACGGAAAGACCCCGUGAACCUUUACUAUAGCUUGACACUGAACACUGGUCCUUGAUGUGUAGGAUAGGUGGGAGGCUUUGAAGCGUGGACGCCAGUCUGCGUGGAGCCAACCUUGAAAUACCACCCUUUAAUGGCUGGUGUUCUAACGUAGACCCGUAAUCCGGGUUGCGGACAGUGUCUGGUGGGUAGUUUGACUGGGGCGGUCUCCUCCCAAAGAGUAACGGAGGAGCACGAAGGUUAGCUAAUCCUGGUCGGACAUCAGGAGGUUAGUGCAAUGGCAUAAGCUAGCUUGACUGCGAGAGUGACGGCUCGAGCAGGUGCGAAAGCAGGUCAUAGUGAUCCGGUGGUUCUGAAUGGAAGGGCCAUCGCUCAACGGAUAAAAGGUACUCCGGGGAUAACAGGCUGAUACCGCCCAAGAGUUCAUAUCGACGGCGGUGUUUGGCACCUCGAUGUCGGCUCAUCACAUCCUGGGGCUGAAGUAGGUCCCAAGGGUAUGGCUGUUCGCCAUUUAAAGUGGUACGCGAGCUGGGUUUAGAACGUCGUGAGACAGUUCGGUCCCUAUCUGCCGUGGGCGCUGGAGAAUUGAGGGGGGCUGCUCCUAGUACGAGAGGACCGGAGUGGACGCAUCACUGGUGUUCGGGUUGUCAUGCCAAUGGCACUGCCCGGUAGCUAAAUGCGGAAAAGAUAAGUGCUGAAAGCAUCUAAGCACGAAACUUGCCCCGAGAUGAGUUCUCCCUGACCCUUUAAGGGUCCUGAAGGAACGUUGAAGACUACGACGUUGAUAGGUCGGGUGUGUAAGCGCAGCGAUGCGUUGAGCUAACCGAUACUAAUGAACCGUGAGGCUUAACCUU